GGAGCAUAAGAGAAGAUGAAGGAGCCAUGUGAAGAGGCACAGCAUAUGUUUUCCUCACUCUGAAUUCAUUGCAGGGCUCCUAUGAUACCUACAGCUUCUUCUCAAAGCCCCCAUUCUUAGACAGUAGAUCCAAUCUCAUCAAGGGCGUUGGCAUGCGACAUCAGGACGUUGUGCGACAUCACGUUGGGCCCCCUCAAUUGUCCGGAGAAGCUGGUGCCUCUGAAUCUCACAAUGAGCAGAAGGGAGCUUCUUCAGGGUGGUGUCUUCUGCAGGGAACAGCUUUCUAACUGUGGCACUGAUGGCCAGAAGGUCCACCCUCUCUCCUCACAUCAAUAUCACCAUGAGUGUGGAUGGACUUAGAUCAGCUAUCCUUAUUGCCUUUCUUCAUUUUGUCCCUCAAAAGCAUCCCUGUGUGCUUUUCAAGAACUGCUGCAUACAUGCAAAGGUCAUCAAACAGCAAGUGGCAGAGAGUUAGAGCAGGGCAAUGAAGAUAGCACUCUGUCUACGUUAAAAUCUUGCUGACAUCCCAGUGUUCAUCUGCCAGCAAGCAUUUGAUGCCUUUAAUGACAUAAAAGGAGCUGUGCUGGAUCAUACCAAAUAUGUAUUCUACUGCAGCAUCUGAUCCUACAGUGGCUGUUCAGCUGCCCAAGGUAAGCCCUGAAGCAGGAUAUGAGCACAACAGCCCUUUCCUGCUUGCCUUUUUCUUUUUCUUUCUUUCUUUUUUUGUUAAAUCGUUUUUAUUAAUUUUCCAAUAAAAAAACAUCCAAUUAACAUAUCAAAUCAUAAUCCAAUAAAAAUAAAAAACUAAAAUAAAAAAUACCAAAUUGUCAUCCAAAUUAUAAUUAUUAAUAUUUCAGGGCUUCCCAUAGUCUGGAUGUUGAAGCAUAUCUCCAAAUCUCAGUCCUGCCGUCUUUUUCUUUUUAAUUACUGAUUUUCUUCAGAUAACCAAAACAUGCAUUCAUCAAGCAAACAAGGCACACAUAACAAAACUUGACUGUAAGCUUAGUUCCGGCGCUGCUUGUAAAUGCACAGAAAGAAGGUAAAACCAAAACAAUCGUGGAGAAGAUGUAGAAAUAGUGAUAUGGAAUGCCAACAAAGUUAAUGUAUAAAUUUUAAGCUGAAGGCCAAAAAUGUUUGGGUAUGAUACCAGUCUGUAAUGGAUAAUGGAGAUCUGGAGAAAGAACUGUUCCCUGUUACUGCAAAACAUAUUCGACAAAUGAAAACCAUAUAACCAAGAAUGGUAUUUUAGAUUAAACCCCCUCUAAGUUGUCAGCUACACUCUGUAACUUCUUCUGCAAUCAGUAACUGCCACAACUUAUUCCCUUUAGAGUACAAUGGGAAUGAUAUAUCCAAUGCUGGGCCAUUUGUAGCCUAGCUGCUGUUACUAGGUGGAUGAUUAGAUCCUUGUAUAACACAUUGUGCAUGGUUUCUGGAAAGAGUGAUAGCAAUGUCAGACCUGGGUCUGGAAGAAUAAUUUAUUGCACCAUUGGAAGACAUAGUUUGAAAAAGCCUUUCCUCAAAAAAUCAUAGAAUCACACAAUCAUAGAAUUGUGGAGUUGGAAGGGACUCCAAGGCUAGCCCAGCCCCUUGCAAAGCAGGAAUCUCAACUAAAGCAUUCAUCCAGCCCCUGCUUUAAAACCUCAAAUGAAGGAAAGCCCACAACCUCCUGAGGGAUUCCAUUUUCACUGUCAAACAGCUUUUACUGUUAGAAAGUUAUUCCUGAUCUUUAGUUGGAAUCUCCUUUCUUGUAACUUGAAGCCAUUGGUUCAAGUCUUAACCUCCAGAGCAGGAGAAAACAAGCUCGCUUGUACAACUGGGCAUUGCCACCAUGUAGUGUAAUAUCACCCUCAUCCCUUGCAUCCUCUCUGACAAGUAGCUGGUAAAUUCUCAUUAAAGCUUUACUCACCACCUUUCGUCUGUCAGUGUACCUCCUUCCUCACUCCCAUGUCAUGACUGUUAAGUUGUGGGUGAACAUAUCAGACGACACAGCGAUUCUUCAGACAGCUCUUGUUUAUUCACAGGCCCAGAACAGAACUGGACUGAAGGGUUCAGCCAACCUGCUUAUAUAGAGCUCAACUACAAAGCAACAGUAACAACUUUCUGUAACUAUCCAAUCACUGAACGUCACUUUCAGUUCCUUAUUUGCAUAUGUGGACCUGAGUGAAAACUAUCUACAGUAUCCCCCUGCUGGCCCAGGGUGAGAACUUCAGUACAUAACAAUGACCGCUGGUGUUGUGCAACCUGCCUUCUCGUUUGCUUC
Molecule: non-coding RNA, 2260 nt
Organism: Podarcis lilfordi (Lilford's wall lizard)
Lineage: Eukaryota; Metazoa; Chordata; Lepidosauria; Squamata; Lacertidae
Source: the annotation of a GenBank genome assembly